Xenopus laevis (African clawed frog) is the source of this 823-nucleotide long non-coding RNA. RefSeq lists it as uncharacterized. The record is from RefSeq and is a predicted model, not a curated record. The transcript has 2 exons. Lineage: Eukaryota; Metazoa; Chordata; Amphibia; Anura; Pipidae.
CCAUAGAGGGAAGUCAGGCAGUGCAGAGCGUCCGCUGAUAAGAGUGUGCGGCGCUAUCCUCCAGCGCCCUCUGGCGGCAGAUAGUCUGAAGUUCGCAGCCGAUAGGAGACUGCAUUGGUUCAGUCACCAACUGUUCCUAAUUGCAACUGGCUGUUUAUAGCUGAAAACUGCCAAGCCCAUCACCUGGGAAUGUCCUGCUGAUCCAUGGCUAACAAGGAAGAUUGGUCUGUCAGCAUCUUUCCAGCAACAGUUAAUUUGGAAGUUGUUGGCAACAAAGCACACAACGCAUAUAACCACUAACACUCUUGUAUCACCUUAACACCCAAAUAUAGGUGUCUAAGGGAAAGAACCUAGGCUACACCCACAAGCUGGAGCCAAUAUUUGCAUUUAUACAAGAGUUUAUGAUUUGUUUUAGUUGUAAGUGUGAGCCUUCUUCCAUAUCAACAUACCCUUUUCUGUUCAUAAUUAACUGACAGCGUAUACAUCUUUAUAAGUCCCAGAUUUAAAAAUGUUUAAAUAGCAUUGAAUUUGUAAGUGGUUGGAUGGAGAUACUAUGAAUGUAGCGUCCUGCACUGUAUUUCCUAUUUGAAGCACUAAAAAGUCCUAGCUUUUGAAUACUUUUGUGGCCCUGUUUUGGUGUCUAGUACUGUGGCUCUACCUGUCCCACACUUGAUUCCAGAGGCAGUUUCUACCAAUUACAAAGGUUUCCUUCAUGCCAAAGCCCUUAACUGAUCUAUAAGCAUCACAUUUUGCCUGCUGACCUAAGGUCCAGUGGCCAGGGUGGUAGUGUGCCUGAAUUAAAAACAAAAUGCUUAAAAAAUUA